This 253-nucleotide ribosomal RNA is filed under the name uncultured bacterium. RNAcentral describes it as "partial 16S ribosomal RNA". It matches the Rfam family "Bacterial small subunit ribosomal RNA", at positions 524 to 776 of the family's 1533-position model. The record is from RNAcentral.
UACAGAGGGUGCAAGCGUUAAUCGGAAUUACUGGGCGUAAAGCGUGCGUAGACGGUUACAUAAGUCGGGUGUGAAAGCCCCGGGCUCAACCUGGGAAUUGCAUUCGAGACUGCGUAGCUAGGGUGCGGAAGAGGGAAGCGGAAUUUCCGGUGUAGCGGUGAAAUGCGUAGAUAUCUGGAGGAACACCGGUGGCGAAGGCGGCAUCCUGGACCGGUAUUGACGCUGAGGCGCGAAAGCUAGGGGAGCAAACGGG